AUACGGAAGGUGCGAGCGUUGUUCGGAAUUAUUGGGCGUAAAGAGCAUGUAGGCGGUCUGUUAAGUCUGGUGUGAAAGCCCGGGGCUCAACCCCGGAAGUGCAUUGGAUACUGGCAGACUUGAGUAUGGGAGAGGAAAGCGGAAUUCCGAGUGUAGGAGUGAAAUCCGUAGAUAUUCGGAGGAACACCAGUGGCGAAGGCGGCUUUCUGGACCAAUACUGACGCUGAGAUGCGAAAGCGUGGGGAGCGAACAGGAUUAGAUACCCCUGUAGUCC
RNAcentral lists this ribosomal RNA (274 nucleotides) under uncultured bacterium. RNAcentral's name for it is "partial 16S ribosomal RNA". It matches the Rfam family "Bacterial small subunit ribosomal RNA", at positions 523 to 796 of the family's 1533-position model. The record is from RNAcentral.